ACAUAUUUAUCAGAAGACCGUGAAUUACAGCAUGAUGGACCAUGGCAAGUUGUUCUGCGCCAAAAAAUAAACACAAGAAAAUGUUCACUACAUCUUGUAACUCUAGGCUGAGCAACAUCCAACAUUUUCACUCCUGCUUUGCACUAAAGUGGCCAACUCUUCAAUCAUAUAAGGGUACUACAUCAUAUUCCAACCUGAAAAAAGAUCGUGUGUCAAUAGGGUAAAAAAGUAAUAAUACUUCCUUAAUUCACUACCAUUUAACCUUGCAACUCAUUUUGAUAGCCUCGUAAAAUUAAGGCCAUAACCACAUUGUACCUUAGUAUACAACUACCUUUAUCAUCCUCAAGGCUCAAAGAACGGUUGAGGAAGAGAACAACAACAACAACAAUGUGGAAGAGCUAUAUGUCAAGCUCAAAAAGAAAGUAAUUAGCAUCAGCCUCACAGUAAUAAAUACAUUAAUAUAUUAUCGAACAUUACCAACAAUAUAGUAACGAUAAACAAUUGUUAACUUCAAUUAUUGAUGUAAGUCGUUUCAAAGGGAUGAUCUACUCUCAAAUAAACACCAGUUAAAGUAGACAGCUAAAGCUAAACAGAUACCAUAUUCUAAUAUUGGCAAAAGCAAAGAGAAGCUCCAGCAUUAACAAGCCCAUAAAGUAUAUAAUGCGAGUGUUAAAUUACUUCGAAAAGCUAACUAUUACUCAAGGAACAAAAUGAACAGAAAAUACACGGCUGAUUCAAUAAGCCAAUAUCAAACUGGAUAGAUUUUUGCCGCAUUUUUCACAAGUUAGUGAAUCCUAAAAAAGAUUAUGACUCAAGCAGCUAGUGAAAUUCAAUGUAAUUGCUCCAACUGUCCAUCUUUGGCUUUUAAUUUCUAGCUACAAUGAAGAUUUAAUCAAAGAUAUUUACGCAAGUCAAAGUCAAGUGAGACAUACAUCUGUGACCAAAAUAAAUUGGUGACCAUUUGACCCAACUUGAACUUCGACUAAUUUAUAUCAGUAGUUAAAUAUGUAUAUUUCAACUCUGGAUAAGGCUUUAUUUUUAACAAUAUAUGAUAGGUGAUUGACAUUUCAUUGCACCCUUCCAUGCUUUAUCUUCUAGUUCUUUUUCCCCUCAAAACUAAUAUUCAUAUUUUUUAGCUCCUUAACUGCAACAUGUUUCGUAUGCUUGUGCUUUAUAAAAACUAAUUUCAUGCUUUAGAUCUAAAUAAAUCUAUGGGAGCCAAAAAUUAAUAACCAGACAAAGAAUAUCUUUGUUACUUACUUAUGAAAGUGCUUAUUGUCCAAAACUUUUCGGAGCCAAAUUUCAGAAAAAAAUAUGGGAAAUUUUCCUACAUAAUUUUCAGCAGAAAGGUUAAUGUCUCCGAAAGAGAGACUUGAAUUGUUUAAUUAAGUACGGUAUCUUAGUUGUUUUCAUUUAUUUGUUAAACUCAUAUACAAACAUUGCCCAAAGCUAAAGGCCUCAUAUGCGGCAAAUUUAGACAUCAAUAGUUAAACAUCUAUUUUCAACUCAAAUAAGAAGGAUCAUAGGUAUAGUGUUGAAGAUAAAUUACAGUAACACAUUUAUAUACCGAGACACAAAGUAGCAGAUUGACGCCAACAUGGUUACAUUUGUAGAGAAAAUGUUGAAAGAAAGCAUAGUCUACAACAAGCAACCUACAUAACUGAUAUGUACCAGUUUUAUAAUCAAAAAUAGAUAGUAGCAAUUUCAUAAAAAAAAUUCUCAUAUCAUUAAUCAUGUAAAGCGGGAAUUAUAAACUCAAUAAUGAGAACCUUCUUAAUACUUUCAAAUGUAUACUCAAUAUAGAAUUUCUCUAGCAAGUUACCUGGGGGAUCCAAGGUCAAAAUAUCAUCACACUUGAUGUUGGACUCACCAUAUUUGUUUGUCUUCUCCAAUGUGGAUAGGAAAUAAUGUCAAAUAAUUUUAUUGAUGUUCCUAUUUUUAAAGUAUUAAAUGAUAUAAAAAAAGGCAAUGAUUAACUUUCUUUCGAUAUUAACUAUUAUACCCAAUCGGUAGACAUUUGGAAAGUCAGAAGAACCAAUUUCAGAUCGAGAGAACAAAAUUUUAAUAAUUUUUCAGUAAGCAGCAAAUAUCACAAAUAGAGGAUGCACAAAGUCACCAAAAUGCUUAUUUUAAAACAAUACGUUUAAUUGUUAAAUGCUCUUGACUAUAUAUGCACAAUCAUCAUUGUUAUUAAUAAUUCACAACUGAUUCUUUCGUCUUUUGCUUCAAAAUCAAUUGAAGCAUCUCCAAGAAUUCAUUGUAUGUGGUUACCAGAAGCUCCAUUUAGAGAGGCAUACAAUAAUAUGGGAGGUCACAGAAACAUAUGAUUCUUUGUUGGCUAGUGAAAGAGAAGACUUUGAUUUUCAAAUGCAUCUCAACCAAACCACAAAUUUCUUGAACUGCUCCAUAGAAAGAGUAAGCAGAGCAUCAGAGAAGCAUUUGUCUUUUCAGCCUUUCAUGUGGAGAAAACAACAACAACAACAACAACAACCCAGUGUAAUCCCACAAGUGGGAUCUGGNNNNNNNNNNNNNNNNNNNNGGUGGAGACAACCAAGUCAAAACUUACUACCAACGGUUACAUUCCAAUAAAUCAAAGCGACUUUUGAUUCUAGAAAGAAGAUGUAGAGUAGAAAAAAGGUUCAGUUGAAGAAUCCAAUUUAACUCACCGGAAGUAGGACGAAAAGGUCUUACUUGAUGCGUAUUGACCUUCUGGAAAUCAACUAUGUAAAAAUCAAAUAUUCAGAAUCAAACACACUAAAAUAAAAAAAACAAAAAAAAAAACACAAAUGCAAAUAUAAUUUUAUUGGAUUUAUGAAGUAUCUAAAUUACCAAAAUGAAGAUUGUAAAUCGAUAAUCCACUAUGUGAUUUAGACUCGUCAUUGUUGAUUUAGAAUAAAGAAUCUAAAUCGAUACUCUCCAAGUUCUCCGCCUGCACCCCAAAGUAUGUAAUUAGUCUUAACUUUUCACCAGAUUGGUUACUUUAACAUCUCUUUUCAUGCGUUUGGUAAAACCCAUUUCUCAAAAGAAGCCAUAUCGUACGUUACACAAUCAAAAUUUGAAAGAAAAAUCUGAACUCUAAAAAAUAGAAUCGAAUGAUACAUGCUCACUCAGACAGAACAAAACAAACUAAACAGAACACAAAGAUCCACUUAAAAAAGGGCAAAAAUAAAAUUUUAAAAAUUUCAAAAAUCAAGGUCAAAAGCACCAGAAGACUGUUGAAGUAUGAAAAGAAAGUACGGAGGGUGAGUAAGUGAAAGAAGAGAAUACCGUGUAACUGAAAAAUAAUAAUAAGAAGAAGAAGGCGACAAAAUCCGGCCAUGUAGUCACUUGCUGGAGUUCCCGGAAGAUUCAAGCCCCAAAUUAUACCAUUUUGGAAUACUCCAAAUGAACCCUUGAAGUGGUCGUGACAAGUAUAUUACACGUGUUUGAUACGUGAGGUUAUAAGGAUACGAAUGGUGUCAGACAAUUGUUUAUGUUUCUGCUCAUGUUCUGGGCAAUAGAUGCCAUAUAAACAUGAGAAGUUUAAAAGUUUAUCAGAAUCCUUUUGGUAGUAAAUAUAAAGCAAGACAAAACUUUGUGAAGCAUUUUUAGGAUUGAAAGAUUAGGCUCAAUUGUAGUAAUUACCAUGUAAUUAUAUGCUUAUGAACCCAGUCCUUGACAAAGAGUUAAAUUGGGUUUUUC
This 3681-nucleotide long non-coding RNA is filed under the name Nicotiana tabacum (common tobacco). Its description in RNAcentral is "long non-coding RNA (NTAB_LNC011457)". Lineage: Eukaryota; Viridiplantae; Streptophyta; Magnoliopsida; Solanales; Solanaceae. The record is from RNAcentral.